CUAGGGAUGUUUAUUAAUGAGAGUUAACUACCAAUUGUUAGGGGGCUUGUUCCUUCACCCACUUACUUCCCUGGUCCUUCUCGCAUGAACAGAGAGCAACAAUAUCUGAAGUCCAAAGGUGCAAACAAUUCAAUGUUUAUUGGGGUGAACUUCCAGCAAGCAUGAUUCUCAUUUCCUUCCUUGUUGUCCCCUUCCCAGCUCUGACACCAAAGAGGCUUACCUGUGUCCCUGUUCCCAUUUCCCCCUUGAGCUAAACAUGAUUCCAAUUUUCCUACCCCCAUUUCCUGUUACCAUUUCCCCGUUUAGCAAAACAUGA
Molecule: long non-coding RNA, 316 nt
Organism: Dermochelys coriacea (leatherback sea turtle)
Lineage: Eukaryota; Metazoa; Chordata; Testudines; Dermochelyidae
Exons: 3
Source: RefSeq, a predicted model, not a curated record